This 518-nucleotide ribosomal RNA is filed under the name uncultured Enterobacter sp. RNAcentral describes it as "bacterial SSU rRNA". It matches the Rfam family "Bacterial small subunit ribosomal RNA", at positions 47 to 556 of the family's 1533-position model. The record is from RNAcentral. Lineage: Bacteria; Pseudomonadati; Pseudomonadota; Gammaproteobacteria; Enterobacterales; Enterobacteriaceae.
CCUAACACAUGCAAGUCGAGCGGUAGCACAGAGAGCUUGCUCUCGGGUGACGAGCGGCGGACGGGUGAGUAAUGUCUGGGAAACUGCCUGAUGGAGGGGGAUAACUACUGGAAACGGUAGCUAAUACCGCAUAACGUCGCAAGACCAAAGAGGGGGACCUUCGGGCCUCUUGCCAUCAGAUGUGCCCAGAUGGGAUUAGCUAGUAGGUGGGGUAACGGCUCACCUAGGCGACGAUCCCUAGCUGGUCUGAGAGGAUGACCAGCCACACUGGAACUGAGACACGGUCCAGACUCCUACGGGAGGCAGCAGUGGGGAAUAUUGCACAAUGGGCGCAAGCCUGAUGCAGCCAUGCCGCGUGUAUGAAGAAGGCCUUCGGGUUGUAAAGUACUUUCAGCGGGGAGGAAGGUGCUGAGGUUAAUAACCUCAGCAAUUGACGUUACCCGCAGAAGAAGCACCGGCUAACUCCGUGCCAGCAGCCGCGGUAAUACGGAGGGUGCAAGCGUUAAUCGGAAUUACUG